Molecule: ribosomal RNA, 465 nt
Filed under: uncultured bacterium
Lineage: Bacteria
Description: bacterial SSU rRNA
Rfam family: Bacterial small subunit ribosomal RNA
Source: RNAcentral
GACGACGCUGGCGGCGUGCUUAACACAUGCAAGUCGAACGGUGACGAGGAGCUUGCUCCUCUGAUCAGUGGCGAACGGGUGAGUAACACGUGAGCAACCUGCCCCAGACUCUGGGAUAACAGUUGGAAACAGCUGCUAAUACCGGAUACGAGACGGAGAGGCAUCUCUACCGUCUGGAAAGUUUUUCGGUCUGGGAUGGACUCGCGGCCUAUCAGCUAGUUGGUGAGGUAAUGGCUCACCAAGGCGACGACGGGUAGCCGGCCUGAGAGGGCGACCGGCCACACUGGGACUGAGACACGGCCCAGACUCCUACGGGAGGCAGCAGUGGGGAAUAUUGCACAAUGGGCGAAAGCCUGAUGCAGCGACGCCGCGUGAGGGAUGACGGCCUUCGGGUUGUAAACCUCUUUCAGCAGGGAAGAAGCGAAAGUGACGGUACCUGCAGAAGAAGCACCGGCUAACUACGUG